RNAcentral lists this ribosomal RNA (2901 nucleotides) under Escherichia coli. Its description in RNAcentral is "23S ribosomal RNA". It matches the Rfam family "Bacterial large subunit ribosomal RNA". The record is from RNAcentral. Lineage: Bacteria; Pseudomonadati; Pseudomonadota; Gammaproteobacteria; Enterobacterales; Enterobacteriaceae.
UUAAGCGACUAAGCGUACACGGUGGAUGCCCUGGCAGUCAGAGGCGAUGAAGGACGUGCUAAUCUGCGAUAAGCGUCGGUAAGGUGAUAUGAACCGUUAUAACCGGCGAUUUCCGAAUGGGGAAACCCAGUGUGUUUCGACACACUAUCAUUAACUGAAUCCAUAGGUUAAUGAGGCGAACCGGGGGAACUGAAACAUCUAAGUACCCCGAGGAAAAGAAAUCAACCGAGAUUCCCCCAGUAGCGGCGAGCGAACGGGGAGCAGCCCAGAGCCUGAAUCAGUGUGUGUGUUAGUGGAAGCGUCUGGAAAGGCGCGCGAUACAGGGUGACAGCCCCGUACACAAAAAUGCACAUGCUGUGAGCUCGAUGAGUAGGGCGGGACACGUGGUAUCCUGUCUGAAUAUGGGGGGACCAUCCUCCAAGGCUAAAUACUCCUGACUGACCGAUAGUGAACCAGUACCGUGAGGGAAAGGCGAAAAGAACCCCGGCGAGGGGAGUGAAAAAGAACCUGAAACCGUGUACGUACAAGCAGUGGGAGCACGCUUAGGCGUGUGACUGCGUACCUUUUGUAUAAUGGGUCAGCGACUUAUAUUCUGUAGCAAGGUUAACCGAAUAGGGGAGCCGAAGGGAAACCGAGUCUUAACUGGGCGUUAAGUUGCAGGGUAUAGACCCGAAACCCGGUGAUCUAGCCAUGGGCAGGUUGAAGGUUGGGUAACACUAACUGGAGGACCGAACCGACUAAUGUUGAAAAAUUAGCGGAUGACUUGUGGCUGGGGGUGAAAGGCCAAUCAAACCGGGAGAUAGCUGGUUCUCCCCGAAAGCUAUUUAGGUAGCGCCUCGUGAAUUCAUCUCCGGGGGUAGAGCACUGUUUCGGCAAGGGGGUCAUCCCGACUUACCAACCCGAUGCAAACUGCGAAUACCGGAGAAUGUUAUCACGGGAGACACACGGCGGGUGCUAACGUCCGUCGUGAAGAGGGAAACAACCCAGACCGCCAGCUAAGGUCCCAAAGUCAUGGUUAAGUGGGAAACGAUGUGGGAAGGCCCAGACAGCCAGGAUGUUGGCUUAGAAGCAGCCAUCAUUUAAAGAAAGCGUAAUAGCUCACUGGUCGAGUCGGCCUGCGCGGAAGAUGUAACGGGGCUAAACCAUGCACCGAAGCUGCGGCAGCGACGCUUAUGCGUUGUUGGGUAGGGGAGCGUUCUGUAAGCCUGCGAAGGUGUGCUGUGAGGCAUGCUGGAGGUAUCAGAAGUGCGAAUGCUGACAUAAGUAACGAUAAAGCGGGUGAAAAGCCCGCUCGCCGGAAGACCAAGGGUUCCUGUCCAACGUUAAUCGGGGCAGGGUGAGUCGACCCCUAAGGCGAGGCCGAAAGGCGUAGUCGAUGGGAAACAGGUUAAUAUUCCUGUACUUGGUGUUACUGCGAAGGGGGGACGGAGAAGGCUAUGUUGGCCGGGCGACGGUUGUCCCGGUUUAAGCGUGUAGGCUGGUUUUCCAGGCAAAUCCGGAAAAUCAAGGCUGAGGCGUGAUGACGAGGCACUACGGUGCUGAAGCAACAAAUGCCCUGCUUCCAGGAAAAGCCUCUAAGCAUCAGGUAACAUCAAAUCGUACCCCAAACCGACACAGGUGGUCAGGUAGAGAAUACCAAGGCGCUUGAGAGAACUCGGGUGAAGGAACUAGGCAAAAUGGUGCCGUAACUUCGGGAGAAGGCACGCUGAUAUGUAGGUGAAGUCCCUCGCGGAUGGAGCUGAAAUCAGUCGAAGAUACCAGCUGGCUGCAACUGUUUAUUAAAAACACAGCACUGUGCAAACACGAAAGUGGACGUAUACGGUGUGACGCCUGCCCGGUGCCGGAAGGUUAAUUGAUGGGGUCAGCGCAAGCGAAGCUCUUGAUCGAAGCCCCGGUAAACGGCGGCCGUAACUAUAACGGUCCUAAGGUAGCGAAAUUCCUUGUCGGGUAAGUUCCGACCUGCACGAAUGGCGUAAUGAUGGCCAGGCUGUCUCCACCCGAGACUCAGUGAAAUUGAACUCGCUGUGAAGAUGCAGUGUACCCGCGGCAAGACGGAAAGACCCCGUGAACCUUUACUAUAGCUUGACACUGAACAUUGAGCCUUGAUGUGUAGGAUAGGUGGGAGGCUUUGAAGUGUGGACGCCAGUCUGCAUGGAGCCGACCUUGAAAUACCACCCUUUAAUGUUUGAUGUUCUAACGUUGACCCGUAAUCCGGGUUGCGGACAGUGUCUGGUGGGUAGUUUGACUGGGGCGGUCUCCUCCUAAAGAGUAACGGAGGAGCACGAAGGUUGGCUAAUCCUGGUCGGACAUCAGGAGGUUAGUGCAAUGGCAUAAGCCAGCUUGACUGCGAGCGUGACGGCGCGAGCAGGUGCGAAAGCAGGUCAUAGUGAUCCGGUGGUUCUGAAUGGAAGGGCCAUCGCUCAACGGAUAAAAGGUACUCCGGGGAUAACAGGCUGAUACCGCCCAAGAGUUCAUAUCGACGGCGGUGUUUGGCACCUCGAUGUCGGCUCAUCACAUCCUGGGGCUGAAGUAGGUCCCAAGGGUAUGGCUGUUCGCCAUUUAAAGUGGUACGCGAGCUGGGUUUAGAACGUCGUGAGACAGUUCGGUCCCUAUCUGCCGUGGGCGCUGGAGAACUGAGGGGGGCUGCUCCUAGUACGAGAGGACCGGAGUGGACGCAUCACUGGUGUUCGGGUUGUCAUGCCAAUGGCACUGCCCGGUAGCUAAAUGCGGAAGAGAUAAGUGCUGAAAGCAUCUAAGCACGAAACUUGCCCCGAGAUGAGUUCUCCCUGACCCUUUAAGGGUCCUGAAGGAACGUUGAAGACGACGACGUUGAUAGGCCGGGUGUGUAAGCGCAGCGAUGCGUUGAGCUAACCGGUACUAAUGAACCGUGAGGCUUAACCU